AUUGAACGCUGGCGGCAGGCUUAACACAUGCAAGUCGAGCGGGGUGAUGGUGCUUGCACUAUCACUUAGCGGCGGACGGGUGAGUAAUGCUUAGGAAUCUGCCUAUUAGUGGGGGACAACAUCUCGAAAGGGAUGCUAAUACCGCAUACGUCCUACGGGAGAAAGCAGGGGAUCACUUGUGACCUUGCGCUAAUAGAUGAGCCUAAGUCGGAUUAGCUAGUUGGUGGGGUAAAGGCCUACCAAGGCGACGAUCUGUAGCGGGUCUGAGAGGAUGAUCCGCCACUGGGACUGAGACACGGCCCAGACUCCUACGGGAGGCAGCAGUGGGGAAUAUUGGACAAUGGGGGGAACCCUGAUCCAGCCAUGCCGCGUGUGUGAAGAAGGCCUUAUGGUUGUAAAGCACCUUAAGCGAGGAGGAGGCUCUUUUGGUUAAUACCCAAGAUGAGUGGACGUUACUCGCAGAAUAAGCACCGGCUAACUCUGUGCCAGCCGCCGCGGUAA
Molecule: ribosomal RNA, 501 nt
Filed under: uncultured bacterium
Lineage: Bacteria
Description: partial 16S ribosomal RNA
Rfam family: Bacterial small subunit ribosomal RNA
Source: RNAcentral